Molecule: transfer-messenger RNA, 364 nt
Filed under: Solirubrobacterales bacterium
Lineage: Bacteria; Bacillati; Actinomycetota; Thermoleophilia; Solirubrobacterales
Rfam family: transfer-messenger RNA
About the family: Bacterial tmRNA, also known as 10Sa RNA or SsrA, is named for its dual tRNA and mRNA-like properties. Its role is to liberate the mRNA from a stalled ribosome. To accomplish this part of the tmRNA is used as a reading frame that ends in a translation stop signal.
Source: RNAcentral
GGGGACGACAUGGCUUCGACGUGGUCGGCUUCGUGACGGUGGUUGCGAGUCGAGGUGCCAGGAGGCCUCGUAAAACACCUGGCAAAAAAAUAAGUGCGGACUCUCACGAGUUCAACCUCGUUCACGCCUAGCGGCUAGAUGAGGUUUCUGGCCCCUCGCCUGCCGGCCGCGGGGAUCGGCUGGAUCAAAUGCCGGCUUACCCGGGGAGAUCUGCUCCCGCCGAACCGGGGACAUUUCAGGGAGCUGGUCUUCGGAAACCCCGCCGGCGAGGCGACCCGAAGAUGAGAUCAGAGCGCCGGAUACGCUCGUAGACGCCACCGCCACGCGAUCGCGGACGCGGGUUCGAUUCCCGCCGUCUCCACUG